RNAcentral lists this ribosomal RNA (549 nucleotides) under uncultured bacterium. RNAcentral describes it as "bacterial SSU rRNA". It matches the Rfam family "Bacterial small subunit ribosomal RNA", at positions 356 to 896 of the family's 1533-position model. The record is from RNAcentral.
GGGGAAUCUUCCGCAAUGGACGAAAGUCUGACGGAGCAACGCCGCGUGAGUGAUGACGGCCUUCGGGUUGUAAAGCUCUGUUAAUCGGGACGAAUGGUUCUUGUGCGAAUAGUGCGAGGAUUUGACGGUACCGGAAUAGAAAGCCACGGCUAACUACGUGCCAGCAGCCGCGGUAAUACGUAGGUGGCAAGCGUUGUCCGGAAUUAUUGGGCGUAAAGCGCGCGCAGGCGGAUUGGUCAGUCUGUCUUAAAAGUUCGGGGCUUAACCCCGUGAUGGGAUGGAAACUGCCAAUCUAGAGUAUCGGAGAGGAAAGUGGAAUUCCUAGUGUAGCGGUGAAAUGCGUAGAUAUUAGGAAGAACACCAGUGGCGAAGGCGACUUUCUGGACGAAAACUGACGCUGAGGUGCGAAAGCCAGGGGAGCGAACGGGAUUAGAUACCCCGGUAGUCCUGGCCGUAAACGAUGGGUACUAGGUGUAGGAGGUAUCGACCCCUUCUGUGCCGGAGUUAACGCAAUAAGUACCCCGCCUGGGGAGUACGACCGCAAGGUUG